This 40-nucleotide ribosomal RNA is filed under the name Beauveria bassiana. RNAcentral's name for it is "partial 28S ribosomal RNA". Lineage: Eukaryota; Fungi; Ascomycota; Sordariomycetes; Hypocreales; Cordycipitaceae. The record is from RNAcentral.
UUGACCUCGAAUCAGGUAGGACUACCCGCUGAACUUAAGC